CGAACGCUGGCGGCAGGCCUAACACAUGCAAGUCGAGCGCCCGCAAGGGAGCGGCGGACGGGUGAGUAACGCGUGGGAACGUACCCUUUGCUACGGAAUAGCCUCGGGAAACUGGGAGUAAUACCGUAUGUGCCCUUCGGGGGAAAGAUUUAUCGGCAAAGGAUCGGCCCGCGUUGGAUUAGGUAGUUGGUGGGGUAAUGGCCUGCCAAGCCGACGAUCCAUAGCUGGUUUGAGAGGAUGAUCAGCCACACUGGGACUGAGACACGGCCCAGACUCCUACGGGAGGCAGCAGUGGGGAAUCUUAGACAAUGGGCGCAAGCCUGAUCUAGCCAUGCCGCGUGAUCGAUGAAGGCCUUAGGGUUGUAAAGAUCUUUCGUGGGGGAAGAUAAUGACUUACCCCAAG
RNAcentral lists this ribosomal RNA (403 nucleotides) under alpha proteobacterium oral taxon B69. Its description in RNAcentral is "bacterial SSU rRNA". It matches the Rfam family "Bacterial small subunit ribosomal RNA", at positions 30 to 465 of the family's 1533-position model. The record is from RNAcentral. Lineage: Bacteria; Pseudomonadati; Pseudomonadota; Alphaproteobacteria.